Molecule: ribosomal RNA, 1170 nt
Filed under: Triticum aestivum (bread wheat)
Lineage: Eukaryota; Viridiplantae; Streptophyta; Magnoliopsida; Poales; Poaceae
Description: partial small subunit ribosomal RNA
Source: RNAcentral
AUGUCGAAGCUUGAACAUGCAGAUUUUGUUCAGCCAGUUAAGCACCACAAGGGAAUAUGCUUAAAUCAUGGCUUGGUUCAUCAUCUGAGAAGCUCAAGAAACAGUGCAGUGAGAGAACCUGCUUUCUUAAGAACAGUGACGAUGCAGGUCCUCAAGAACCUUCCUCCAGAGAUAAUAUCUGAAAUGAAUGACAUGUACAAGGGAGAAUUGCAUGGUUUUCUGGGCAUGAGAAGCAGCGGUGAAGGCAAGGAAAGCAACUCAAAAUCUCGUGUUUUUUCUGCCGUUAACCAGAAUUCUGUACCUGUUAGUAAUGCAAGGUUGCACCAAUAUGGGGAGCGCACUGACUCCAUGCAUUUGGAAAAGCGGAAUUCUAUUAAGGGGGCAUCAGAUGAGGAAGUUCAAACUGCCCAUGCUUUGUGCUCAAGAGCCAAUGAAUUGAUUGAUACAGAAAGUGUCACACGGCUUGAUUUCGUGCCUAAUUCUCUAAGCCAGGCAGACUUCACAAUUUUGCAGGAAUUACCUGAGGAUGUCAAGGCUGAUUUGUUCAAUGUGCUUCCAUUACAUAGGUCAAUAGAUCCUACACGCCACACUUCAAAUGUUACUGAAAAUAAAUCUCUGAAGAAUGGAGGAACGGAUGAUCCAAAAAAUCCAGUGAUUUGCGUUUUGCCAGGAAGUUCUGAGAAAUGGGCCGAACAGUUCAGAGUUAGUAGUUCCCUACUGUUGAAAGCUAUUGCAGAGCAACACGCAAAUUCUAUCUCCAGUCAACCUUUAUCUUCAAUUUUGGAGCAUGCUGCUUCCCUCCUCCCUCUGUGUCCUCCCUCAGUGUAUAUACACCUGAAAGUUGAUUCUGAUAUUGAAGAGCUGUACAAAUGUUUCCUUCUUUUGAAAAGGUUCUCUUCAGCAUCUGAGCUUUUCUGGAAUUGCACAAUAGCAUUCUUCCUUUACUACAGGAUUCCAUCACUCAGCAUUAUGGUGGGACACUGCCUCUCUAGUUUGAAGUUCAGUUAUUGCCUACCAUUUGGCGAUAGAAAGGAUAUAGAGGUGCUUGGGGGUCUCUGCUCUUGUUUAUCAGUGGUGACCAUGGAGUGUGAUGACUGGCUCUCCUGGUCCAAGCAUAUGAACCGAAUCAGGGUUCUGAAUAAAGUGGAAAUCAUGUACACCUGUAAAUAG